Molecule: signal recognition particle RNA, 146 nt
Filed under: Clostridiaceae bacterium
Lineage: Bacteria; Bacillati; Bacillota; Clostridia; Eubacteriales; Clostridiaceae
Description: signal recognition particle sRNA large type
Rfam family: Bacterial large signal recognition particle RNA
About the family: The signal recognition particle (SRP) is a universally conserved ribonucleoprotein involved in the co-translational targeting of proteins to membranes.
Source: RNAcentral
UUUCGUCCCGUCCGGUCUGCGGUCGGCUGCGGGUCUCGUGCGAUGUGACCCGUGAACCCUGUCAGGUCCGGAAGGAAGCAGCAGUAAGCGGUCAAUCACAGGUGCCGCGAGGGUGCCUGUAUCCGAUCGCAGACCGGACGGGACGA